UAAGAUUAUUUACUUAGAGCUGCUAACUCUAAAAUAAUGUUUAACAUUUAAUCUUUA
This 57-nucleotide transfer RNA is filed under the name Microdiplogynium sp. XFX. RNAcentral's name for it is "tRNA-Ser". The record is from RNAcentral. Lineage: Eukaryota; Metazoa; Arthropoda; Arachnida; Mesostigmata; Diplogyniidae.